UUUGCCCGCGGCCUAUUUUUGGCACAUGGCGGCCCCUAGCAAUGUCUCGCGGCAUUCCGAGUCCGGCGGACGAAGUUGGCCAGCAUCAACCCCCAAGGCUAUAGCCCACCCGUUUUUGUGGCCUUUUUCCGCUGGACGAACUUGGUGCCCCGGCCUUCGGGCGGUUACAUUUAGGCGCGGCUUUUCCCGCGGCCUAUUUUUGGCACGCGGAGGCCCCUCGCAAAGUCUCACGGCAUUCCGAGUCCGGCGGACGAAGUUGGCCAGCAUCACCCCCCAAGGCUAUAGCCCACCCGUUUUUGUGGCCUUUUUCCGCUGGACGAACUUGGCGCCCCGGCCUUCGGGCGGUUAAUUUUGGGCGUGGCUUUGCCCGCGGCCUAUUUUUGGCACACGGCGGCCCCUAGCAAUGUCUCGCGGCAUUCCGAGUCCGGCGGACGAAGUUGGCCAGCAUCAACCCCCAAGGCUAUAGCCCACCCGUUUUUGUGGCCUUUUUCCGCUGGACGAACUUGGCGCCCUGGCCGUCGGGCGGUUAUUUUUGGGCGCGGCUUUGCCCGCGUCCUAUUUUUGGCACACGGAGGCCCCUCGCAAAGUCUCGCGGCAUUCCGAGUCCGGCGGACGAAGUUGGCCAGCCCCACCCCCAAAGGCUAUAGCCCACCCGUUUUUGUGGUCUUUUUCCGCUGGACGAACUUGGCGCCCCGGAACUUGCUGCUGCUACCUAUCUAUAAAAUCACUACAAAAUUUUAUCACUAUAUAACAUAAAAUUUUGAACCACGAACCUUUUAAACAUUCCAUGGCGUAUUUUUGGCACACGGGGGCCCCUCGCAAAGUCUCGCGGCAUUCCGAGUCCGGCGGACGAAGUUGGCCAGCCCCACCCCCCAAGGCUAUAGCCCACCCGUUUUUGUGGCCUUUUUCCGCUGGAAGAACUUGGCGCCCCGGCCUUCGGGCGGUUAACCAUGGGCGCGGCUUUGCCCGUGGCCUAUUGUUGUCACACGGAGGCCCCUCGUAAAGUCUCGCGGCAUUCCGAGUCCGGCGGACGAAGUUGGCCAGCCCCACCCCCCAAGGCUAUAGCCCACCUGUUUUUGUGGCCUUUUUCCGCUGGACGAACUUGGCGCACCGGCCGUCGGGCGGUUAUUUUUAGGCGCGGUUUUGCCCGCGGCCUAUUUUUGGCACACGGAGGCCCCUCGCAAAGUCUCGCGGCAUUCCGAGUCCGGCGGACGAAGUUGGCCAGCCCCACCCCCAAAAGCUAUAGCCCACCCGUUUUUGUGGCCUUUUUCCGCUGGACGAACUUGGCGCCCCGGCCUUCGGGCGGUUAUUUUUGGGCGCGGCUUUGCCCACGGCCUAUUUUUGGCACACAGAGGCCCCUCGCAAAGUCUCGCGGCAUUCCGACUCCGGCGGACGAAGUUGGCCAGCCCCACCCCCCAAGG
Molecule: long non-coding RNA, 1421 nt
Filed under: Citrus x clementina
Lineage: Eukaryota; Viridiplantae; Streptophyta; Magnoliopsida; Sapindales; Rutaceae
Description: Citrus clementina (C. clementina) long non-coding RNA (CCLE_LNC005846)
Source: RNAcentral